RNAcentral lists this unclassified non-coding RNA (216 nucleotides) under uncultured Entrophospora. RNAcentral describes it as "uncultured Claroideoglomus partial internal transcribed spacer 2". Lineage: Eukaryota; Fungi; Glomeromycota; Glomeromycetes; Entrophosporales; Entrophosporaceae. The record is from RNAcentral.
UAAUAUAAUAAUUAUCACGAUCUCACCGAUUGUGGAAUUGGGCUCUUAUUUCGAACAGAUUUAUGGCCUUAAAUUUACGCCAUGCGAUUAAUUCGAACCAAGCGGAGCAAUUAAACAUUCUCUCGUGGACGGAUUACUCGCAAGCCAUUACGGUUUUUUGGACGACAAAAAGCACUUUCACGAGCGCGAAGCCCAAGAUCGUAAAUUCAUCCUGAC